Molecule: ribosomal RNA, 1076 nt
Filed under: Salmonella enterica subsp. enterica serovar Typhimurium str. DT104
Lineage: Bacteria; Pseudomonadati; Pseudomonadota; Gammaproteobacteria; Enterobacterales; Enterobacteriaceae
Description: bacterial SSU rRNA
Rfam family: Bacterial small subunit ribosomal RNA
Source: RNAcentral
AGAGUUUGAUCAUGGCUCAGAUUGAACGCUGGCGGCAGGCCUAACACAUGCAAGUCGAACGGUAACAGGAAGCAGCUUGCUGCUUCGCUGACGAGUGGCGGACGGGUGAGUAAUGUCUGGGAAACUGCCUGAUGGAGGGGGAUAACUACUGGAAACGGUGGCUAAUACCGCAUAACGUCGCAAGACCAAAGAGGGGGACCUUCGGGCCUCUUGCCAUCAGAUGUGCCCAGAUGGGAUUAGCUUGUUGGUGAGGUAACGGCUCACCAAGGCGACGAUCCCUAGCUGGUCUGAGAGGAUGACCAGCCACACUGGAACUGAGACACGGUCCAGACUCCUACGGGAGGCAGCAGUGGGGAAUAUUGCACAAUGGGCGCAAGCCUGAUGCAGCCAUGCCGCGUGUAUGAAGAAGGCCUUCGGGUUGUAAAGUACUUUCAGCGGGGAGGAAGGUGUUGUGGUUAAUAACCGCAGCAAUUGACGUUACCCGCAGAAGAAGCACCGGCUAACUCCGUGCCAGCAGCCGCGGUAAUACGGAGGGUGCAAGCGUUAAUCGGAAUUACUGGGCGUAAAGCGCACGCAGGCGGUCUGUCAAGUCGGAUGUGAAAUCCCCGGGCUCAACCUGGGAACUGCAUUCGAAACUGGCAGGCUUGAGUCUUGUAGAGGGGGGUAGAAUUCCAGGUGUAGCGGUGAAAUGCGUAGAGAUCUGGAGGAAUACCGGUGGCGAAGGCGGCCCCCUGGACAAAGACUGACGCUCAGGUGCGAAAGCGUGGGGAGCAAACAGGAUUAGAUACCCUGGUAGUCCACGCCGUAAACGAUGUCUACUUGGAGGUUGUGCCCUUGAGGCGUGGCUUCCGGAGCUAACGCGUUAAGUAGACCGCCUGGGGAGUACGGCCGCAAGGUUAAAACUCAAAUGAAUUGACGGGGGCCCGCACAAGCGGUGGAGCAUGUGGUUUAAUUCGAUGCAACGCGAAGAACCUUACCUGGUCUUGACAUCCACAGAACUUUCCAGAGAUGGAUUGGUGCCUUCGGGAACUGUGAGACAGGUGCUGCAUGGCUGUCGUCAGCUCGUGUUGUGAAAU